CAGCAGCCGCGGGAAUACGUAGGUGGCAAGCGUUGUCCGGAAUUAUUGGGCGUAAAGCGCGCGCAGGUGGUUUAAUAAGUCUGAUGUGAAAGCCCACGGCUCAACCGUGGAGGGUCAUUGGAAACUGUUAAACUUGAGUGCAGGAGAGAAAAGUGGAAUUCCUAGUGUAGCGGUGAAAUGCGUAGAGAUUAGGAGGAACACCAGUGGCGAAGGCGGCUUUUUGGCCUGUAACUGACACUGAGGCGCGAAAGCGUGGGGAGCAAACAGGAUUAGAUACCCCAGUAGUCCCUGUCUCUUAUAA
This 301-nucleotide ribosomal RNA is filed under the name uncultured bacterium. Its description in RNAcentral is "partial 16S ribosomal RNA". It matches the Rfam family "Bacterial small subunit ribosomal RNA", at positions 509 to 809 of the family's 1533-position model. The record is from RNAcentral.